Molecule: long non-coding RNA, 3828 nt
Organism: Monodelphis domestica (gray short-tailed opossum)
Lineage: Eukaryota; Metazoa; Chordata; Mammalia; Didelphimorphia; Didelphidae
Source: RefSeq, a predicted model, not a curated record
CCUCCCCAUAAGGUUGGAGGACUGGGAGAGUUUCUCUACCUCCUCCAAAUUGUUCAUCUCUUGCCGGAUCCAAUUCCCAAUCAUGGUGAUGAUGGAGGCAAAGUAGAAGAGAGAGAGAACGAUCCAGAGCAAGACAAGGUUCGUGCCAACGUGUUCACCAGUGCUCGUCAACAGCAUCCCGUACAGUGGGAUCCCCAGCACAAUAAAGAAGACGCAGAAAAUGCGACCCUCAUCUGAGAGCAGGAUCACGUUCCCAUAGCCUGGCCCAGACUUUGGGGUCAGCCUGGGCAGGGGCCUGUCCCACCGCUGCCUCCUCAGUGCUAGCCGCUGAGGUCCUGAGCCACAGGCCGCUGCCCCUGCCCUCAGGAGGGCCCCAACUGGCUACCCUGGAGAGUAAGGAGUCGGGUCCUGGAAGGUGCUGUCUGCACCAGGAACUAGAGGGAGGUGCUCAGGGGACUUUCUCUAAUUGCAUCCCCAGGUUAACUGGCCAGGGUCAGGGGAAAGGUGGAGGUGAUGAGCCCAGGUAAAGAAGGCAGGUGACUGCCUGACCGUGGGUAGGAAGAAAGCCCCUGAAGAGCCAGGGUUAGGGCCCUUUCUGUAAGUGCACCUUCCUCUCCCACUCUUCCUACUGGCCUGACUGGUGCUCUGCUGGCAACCUGCGACCCACUGGCCCUCCCCACAAUGCCCCUGCCCUACCCACCGACAGUGGUGACAAGGCUGCCUGCGAAGAAGAUGGCACCCUCUGUGGUCCAAGUUGAUCGGGUUUUGUUGGUGAAGUAGGCCCCGGGGUCCAUACCUACAGUCACAGAGGUGACCACAUUCUACAAGAUGGAAAGGAAGGGAUUAAAGGGGCGGCCAUGUUCUGCUCUGCUACUUCCUGGUCCUGCCUCUCACAGGGUCUGGAGUUCCACCAGUCCAAUGCCAUCUAUUUACUGAGGUCCAGACAAGAGAAUGGAUCUGAGGAUUGUCUUAGAGCCAGUAAAACCCCUCCUUCCCUCAUGAAUCCAGCUUCUCCCCCCAGAGCCUGGCUUCCUUCCCACCAAGCUCCAGGAACCUGAAGAUGGCGGCACCUAUCACCACGUAGGUUAGCACUGCCAACCAGAGUUCCAAGAGAAUGGAUUUUUUCAUGACACAGUCUGAAGACGGUCAGAGACCUCACUGGAAACCCAGAUUUUGCCCCAAAUCUUCUGGUCACUGUGAUGAAAAGCAUGGACCCUGGGGAGAGAGGGGGUGCUAUAAACAGAACCUGCCUGGUGCCAACUAUGCCCCCCAGUGACUCCAGUUUCUCUGAGUGUGCUUGCUCCUUGCCACUCUAGUUCCCUCUCAGAACCCCCUACUUUCUAUAUUUGCCCAGGGUCUCCGCCAUAGUCCAUUCCCCCCUUUAAGCCCUCCACAGAUGUCCACUCCUGGGCCUAGUCUCAUCCCUCUGAGCGUCUCCCUGCUAGGCUGUGCCCGUUUCCUCUGCCUCUCUUCUCCCCCCGCCUUCCAUCAGUCCUGUUCUAGCGGCUCCCUUAUAGGAGAGGGGCAGGGGAAGGGGAGAAGAAAUGCAAAGACCAGUGGGUGGAGAAAAGAAGCCACAUGGGCUGGAGGGAGGAAAGGAAAGCAGAAAGCUGGAGAGAGACCCAGAGGGGCAGGGAGGAAGGAUGCAGCUGAGAGGGAGGAUCCUACCACUGAAGGGAGAUCCGGCCAAGCCCCCAGCCCCAAGGCUCCCCGACCCUUCCUCCAGCGGCUGCCCCGCCCUACUCGAUAUCUGGAUGUGGCAUCCUCCAGCAGAUAAGGUCGGGCGCCCCAGUAGACCUGGGGCGGGAGAGGGGGCCCAGAACCUGGCCGAGUCGGGCACCGGGUCAGCCGGACCGCGCUAGCUCUGGGUGCCCCAACCCUGCCGCAGGAGCGGAGCUCCGCCGCGCCCAGGACUCCCGAUUCCUAGCCGCCUGACUUGGGAGGAACAGCAGCUUCGGGAGGGCGGGAUGCGGCCACGCUGGAGGUGCUCUCCAAGUUGGGGAGAAAGGGGAUGAAGUGGGGCUUCAGCGCAGCCAGAGCCUGCUACUUGGCGAGGGACGAGCUUUGCAGGUCUCCGUUAUGGGGCGCCACGGCUCCUGGGCGGGGCCCCGGGGCUUCCGGACGCGCUCCAGCUGUCGGGACCCCAAGCGCAAGGAUAGAUGGAGGUGGGGACAGACCGGUCAACGGGCCGGCUCCCUCGCGCACAAGCGUCGGCGCACGACCCCGGCGCUACAGUCUCGUGGGCUAUUCACGCUCACCGAGCGCCCCUUCUCUACUCUCGCCCCCCCUCCACAGCGAAGAAACUCUCCUUCCCUCCCUCCCCCAGCCUGGAUCGUCCCUGCCGCUUCCCCUUAGCUGCCAGCCAGCCCCUUUCUCUGCCACUCCGUUGCCUUGCCCAUGCGCUCCCCAGUCCCAGCUGUGAGCUGCAGCUGCAGGGGCCUGAGGAGAAACCAGCCUCGCCAGCCUUGCCUGCCCAGCUCAGAGGCAGCUAACUUCCCACUUGUCCCCCUUUGGGCCCCAUCGGGCUUCUCCAGGGCCAUUCAGCCACCGUCCUGUCUUCUGCCCCCAUGGAAGCUAGCCCUUUCCUUCCUGAGCUGGCCGGGGCUGACCGGCCUCCAGCUGUGCCCGCUCCACAGUGAAAGGGCUCCUGGAGGAGAGGACUCAGCAAAGGGCCUCAAAGAAUCGGCCAUUCCCUGCCCAGCCAGGCCUCAGGAUUCCUCCCAAUCUCCCUGGGCCCUCAGAGACAGACUAGCCCUUCUGUCUGGCAUUUUGGGCAGGGCUGCUCCAGGUCCAGCCUAGGACAGCAGGGUCCUGCGGGGAAGGGGAACACCCAGUGCAUUCAGAUCUUGGCUCUGCCAGCAUCCCCAGGAAGAUCACAUCCCAAGGGAUGGGUGGUCCCCCAGUCAGGCCAGGCAGGGAUGCCCCAGCAAAGGGUCCCCAUCCCAGCACCUCCCCAAUAGGAUGUGCAGGGGGUGCUGAGUCACCUGAGUGUCAAUGUGAUUAACAAAGAAAGUGGUCCUUCACCUGGCAGGUAUCUGAAUCUGAUUCUUCAGGCUGCAAGCCCAUAACUCCUCCCAUUGCAAACAACCUGCUUCUCCUGCUGAGCUGCCCUGGCACAUCCCUACUGGCCAUCCAAGGCCUCCUCACCCCUACCUACUUCUGGAAGCCCCCUUGAGACCUCUUUUGGUACUUCACUCCCUCUAGAUUGGAGAGUCCAAUUAAUGGCUUGUUGACUGCUCCCGCCCUGACCCACUGAUCCACAGCGUCCAGCCUGGAGGCCUCCAAGGCCUAAAGAAGCCAGGAUUUCAGAGGACUCCUCUGGGUCAAUCAACACCCCACCACCACCAUGGGGCCCUGAAGAAUGACAAGGCCUGGAAACACCUUUGACCCACCGUAUUGUUGGAAGCAAAUUUCUCUCUCCAGUGUCACUUUUUUUUACAUCAUCUUCCAGUGACCCAGAGGUCAAAUACCACUGAGUAAAUUCAGGUGUAGAUCAGCCUCAGAUAAAGGAAGUUUAAGAACCACCAAACUAAGGAAACAGGAAACAAUAAUUCCACAGGCAAAUUAAGAAACUAUGAUUGGUUCCUGAGAUGUGACCUGUCAGAGUUAGUGGGUGGGGAAAAGAGCUUAUAGGGUGAGACUAGCAGAAAGUUGAGGUCUUUGUGUGUAUGUGAACAGAGUGGACCCUUGCUGAAUUGUAGCUCCAGGCCCAUUAUGGAGGCCAAUAGAUUAGAAAGCUCAGUAUCUCUCUACCUCUCUCCUACUGUUCCCUCUCUUUACUACAACUACUUCUAUUACUUUUGAUUUAAUAAAGUUAUUAAGCUACAA